This 271-nucleotide ribosomal RNA is filed under the name uncultured bacterium. RNAcentral describes it as "partial 16S ribosomal RNA". It matches the Rfam family "Bacterial small subunit ribosomal RNA", at positions 524 to 795 of the family's 1533-position model. The record is from RNAcentral.
UCCGUAGGGUGCGAGCGUUAAUCGGAAUUACUGGGCGUAAAGCGUGCGCAGGCGGUUAUAUAAGACAGAUGUGAAAUCCCCGGGCUCAACCUGGGACCUGCAUUUGUGACUGUAUAGCUAGAGUACGGUAGAGGGGGAUGGAAUUCCGCGUGUAGCAGUGAAAUGCGUAGAUAUGCGGAGGAACACCGAUGGCGAAGGCAAUCCCCUGGACCUGUACUGACGCUCAUGCACGAAAGCGUGGGGAGCAAACAGGAGUAGAUACCCCGUAUCC